This 497-nucleotide ribosomal RNA is filed under the name uncultured bacterium. Its description in RNAcentral is "partial 16S ribosomal RNA". It matches the Rfam family "Bacterial small subunit ribosomal RNA", at positions 28 to 507 of the family's 1533-position model. The record is from RNAcentral.
GAUGAACGCUGGCGGCGUGCCUAAUACAUGCAAGUCGAGCGAACGGACGAGAAGCUUGCUUCUCUGGUGUUAGCGGCGGACGGGUGAGUAACACGUGGAUAACCUACCUAUAAGACUGGGAUAACUUCGGGAAACCGGAGCUAAUACCGGAUAAUAUUUUGAACCGCAUGGUUCAAAAGUGAAAGACGGUCUUGCUGUCACUUAUAGAUGGAUCCGCGCUGCAUUAGCUAGUUGGUAAGGUAACGGCUUACCAAGGCAACGAUGCAUAGCCGACCUGAGAGGGUGAUCGGCCACACUGGAACUGAGACACGGUCCAGACUCCUACGGGAGGCAGCAGUAGGGAAACUUCCGCAAUGGGCGAAAGCCUGACGGAGCAACGCCGCGUGAGUGAUGAAGGUCUUCGGAUCGUAAAACUCUGUUAUUAGGGAAGAACAUAUGUGUAAGUAACUGUGCACAUCUUGACGGUACCUAAUCAGAAAGCCACGGCUAACUACGUG